GCCCUUAGAGUUUGAUCCUGGCUCAGAUUGAACGCUGGCGGUAUGCUUAAGACAUGCAAGUCGAACGGAAUCUUCGGAUUCAGUGGCGGACGGGUGAGUAACACGUGGGAAUCUACUGAGUAGUGGGGGACAGCCCGGCGAAAGCCGGAUUAAUACCGCAUACGCCCUACGGGGGAAAGGCGCAAGCCGCUAUUUAAUGAGCCCGCGUAAGAUUAGCUAGUUGGUAAGGUAAAGGCUUACCAAGGCGACGAUCUUUAGCUGGUCUGAGAGGAUGGCCAGCCACAUCGGGACUGAGACACGGCCCGGACUCCUACGGGAGGCAGCAGUCGGGAAUAUUGGACAAUGGGCGCAAGCCUGAUCCAGCGACGCCGCGUGAGGGAUGACGGCCUUCGGGUUGUAAACCUCUUUCAGUAGGGAAGAAGCGAAAGUGACGGUACCUACAAAAGAAGCACCGGCUAACUACGUGCCAGCAGCCGCGGUAAUAAGGGC
Molecule: ribosomal RNA, 489 nt
Filed under: uncultured bacterium
Lineage: Bacteria
Description: bacterial SSU rRNA
Rfam family: Bacterial small subunit ribosomal RNA
Source: RNAcentral